GACGAACGCUGGCGGCGUGCUUAAUACAUGCAAGUCGAACGGAAAGGCCCUGCUUUUGUGGGGUGCUCGAGUGGCGAACGGGUGAGUAACACGUGAGUAACCUGCCCUUGACUUUGGGAUAACUUCAGGAAACUGGGGCUAAUACCGGAUAGGAGCUCCUGCUGCAUGGUGGGGGUUGGAAAGUUUCGGCGGUUGGGGAUGGACUCGCGGCUUAUCAGCUUGUUGGUGGGGUAGUGGCUUACCAAGGCUUUGACGGGUAGCCGGCCUGAGAGGGUGACCGGCCACAUUGGGACUGAGAUACGGCCCAGACUCCUACGGGAGGCAGCAGUGGGGAAUAUUGCACAAUGGGCGGAAGCCUGAUGCAGCAACGCCGCGUGCGGGAUGACGGCCUUCGGGUUGUAAACCGCUUUCGCCUGUGAUGAAGCGUGAGUGACGGUAAUGGGUAAAGAAGCACCGGCUAACUACGUG
Molecule: ribosomal RNA, 468 nt
Filed under: uncultured bacterium
Lineage: Bacteria
Description: partial 16S ribosomal RNA
Rfam family: Bacterial small subunit ribosomal RNA
Source: RNAcentral